Long non-coding RNA from Frankliniella occidentalis (western flower thrips), 322 nucleotides. RefSeq lists it as uncharacterized. The transcript is spliced from 2 exons. The record is from RefSeq and is a predicted model, not a curated record. Lineage: Eukaryota; Metazoa; Arthropoda; Insecta; Thysanoptera; Thripidae.
AUGUGUCUGGGCUAAAACAACAUAAAAAAAUAAGAUCAAUUUCAAGUAAACAAAUUAAAUUGGGAUUGGUGAAACAAAAUUCUCAGGUGCUGUAACAUGUUAUCCAAAGAAGUUCUUGUGACGCAGAGGCAUGUUUAGUAGCACAAAGCCAUACUUGUAAAUUUUAAGAAGUUAGUUGUAUGUAUGUAUGAUGUAAACUUAACUGAUCUGUAAACGAAAUUUGACACCAAACUAAACAACAUGCAUUCCUCUUCUUAUUCUGCUCCUCAUCUAGAACUGCAUUAACAACAUGUUUGCCUGGAAAUAAAAUCAUAAUAAAGAA